AAACAUCGCUCUUUAUGACUCCAGAGUUAUCAUCCUGCUGCUAUCCCCUGUCGGCAUUUCUGUCUUCUUUUCUGAGCUCAGGAAGCUGACCUCUGCAGAUUGCAUCAAGUGGGUCUGAGACCCCUUUCCUUUGGCUUUCUUGCGGUUUCAGCCAAUGACAACCACUGUAGCAGAGCAGAGGGGGACUCAUUCUGCUGAAAGCCACAGCUCCUAUCCGGUGGUCUUAGAGCUUGGUAGGUCCUGUAACUACCUGCAUCCUUGCUUGUAGGUUUAAGGGUGGCAGUCACUUCCCUUUUGCUAGCCCCAGAGGGGCUUUACAGAGUCUUGGUUUCCUUGCCCUUACUUUCAUAUAACCUCCUUUUAUUUAAAAAAACUGUUUAAUUAUCACAUUUGAGUGUCUUCUUUUUCUGGCACAUGCAGCUAUGUAGAUUAAAGGGGUAACUGUACUUUAAAAAAAAUCAAUAAAUCAGACUUUUCAUUACUUCGUCUGGUCUCUUCCUUAUCCCUUUGGUCCAAAUGUAU
Molecule: long non-coding RNA, 522 nt
Filed under: Homo sapiens (human)
Lineage: Eukaryota; Metazoa; Chordata; Mammalia; Primates; Hominidae
Description: HSALNT0357055
Source: RNAcentral